Molecule: transfer RNA, 73 nt
Rfam family: tRNA
About the family: Transfer RNA (tRNA) molecules are approximately 80 nucleotides in length. Their secondary structure includes four short double-helical elements and three loops (D, anti-codon, and T loops).
GGGGCCGUGGCCCAGCUUGGCCAGGGCGCCAAUGUAACGCUGGAGGUCGCGGGUUCAAGUCCCGCCGGCCCCA